RNAcentral lists this transfer RNA (71 nucleotides) under Phrynosoma solare. RNAcentral describes it as "tRNA-Trp". It matches the Rfam family "tRNA". Rfam says of the family: Transfer RNA (tRNA) molecules are approximately 80 nucleotides in length. Lineage: Eukaryota; Metazoa; Chordata; Lepidosauria; Squamata; Phrynosomatidae. The record is from RNAcentral.
AGAAACUUAGGAUAACCUUAAACCGAGGGCCUUCAAAGCCCUAAACAGGGAAUUAACCCCCCUAGUUUCUG